CCCCACGCCGCCUCCAAUGGAUCGAAGCCCGCGGAUCUGAAGGACCUUAUCGCCGGGCUGUACGGAUCGCAGCCGCUCUCUUCCCCCGUCGCCGAUGAGGCGGGUGAAGAGGAGAUGGUGCCGGUGGUGGAGGACGGGGACGAGUUCGGAGACGAUGGCUGGGAAUUCAAGGCCGCGCCGUCGUCAGAUGGUGGACGAGCGAAUGGGGAUGGAAUUGAGCUGCCGCCUCAAUCCAGCUUAGAAACUCCCCACAGAGAAGGGGAGGAGCUCCAGGAAGGUUUGUUAGGAAACCUGGCCCGCUUCCUCUGUGGUGAUAAGUCCUUCCUUCCUCCUUCGUUCUCAUCACCAUCAAACAGAGUCUUGGCGCCAUUGUCUUGCGGCAGAGCAUCAUCACCAUCAUUCCUGACAGAAGACUGGUCACUAUUUACUAGUGUGGAUGAAAAUUUGAACCAUGUUCGAACUACAAACCACAUUGAAACUUGUAAGUCCACAGGUCCUAAUGAUGCAGCCAUACUUGACCUGUACAAAGAAACUGAGCUGGUUGAUGCUGUACACAUGACACAAAGUUCUUCAGAAAGUGUGCAGAGCCCUUCUGAUAUGUUCUCAAAUAAUGAAAUGAACUCUUCAUUUGAAACAGAUGAAAAUCAUUCAAUUAAAUCUUCAAGCGAUAGGACUUUGAUUGAUUUCUACCAUAAGCUGAGGGAAGAAACACUGACAGUAAUAUUUCGGAAUGGGAAGGAUUUUAAGGAAAUCUGUGAGAAACUACCUGAAGGUUUUUGUAUAGAGGAACAUACUGCAAAGGAUGUAUUCAUUUCUGAACUGCUUGACAGUGCCAGAGAGGUUCAUUUGAAGGAUUUUGAGGAAGAAUAUCAUUUAAUAGAAAAGAUACCGAUGCAUGGUGUGGUGCUUUGGCAAGAAUCCUGUCAAUCAAAUGUCUGCAACGUAGUAAUUUCCCAAGGUGGCCAAUUCUUUAUUGCUCUUGGGGAGAUUUACAGAGUUGCACAGAUUCUAAAUUUAUCCUUGCAGUCCUUCAAGCCCUGGGUUCUUGCUGAUCCUGGAAUGGUGAGUAAAAUGUUGGUUUGUUGGGACGGCUGCCUGAAUGCAUGGACUAAUAAUGGUCUAGGAACGGCUCUUAGAAUGGUUGUUGACAGCAAUAACUUAGAUGCACCUGUUGCUAAAGUUCUUCUCGAAUCUAUCAUUAAAAUUGACGAAAUUGAAGUGGCCACUCUCCAAUGUUCCCUUCCCAACAGCAAGAUGACAUGUAGGCAUACCCUCCUGCCGACUAGUGUUUUACCAGGAAUGGAAGUGAUCAUUUGGGAUGGUGAUCACUAUUUUGUUAAAGUUGCUAAUCUGUGGACUAACCGGAUAUCUUCUGACCCUCCCCAGUUCAGCCAUUCGUGUCACUUAAAUAAGUGA
Molecule: long non-coding RNA, 1416 nt
Filed under: Oryza sativa Indica Group (long-grained rice)
Lineage: Eukaryota; Viridiplantae; Streptophyta; Magnoliopsida; Poales; Poaceae
Description: lncRNA OsMH63_12G003410
Source: RNAcentral